Antechinus flavipes (yellow-footed antechinus) is the source of this 1248-nucleotide RNA transcript. It is a transcript of the gene named spermatogenesis associated 19, with no coding region annotated. The record is from RefSeq and is a predicted model, not a curated record. Lineage: Eukaryota; Metazoa; Chordata; Mammalia; Dasyuromorphia; Dasyuridae. The transcript has 8 exons.
AUAUCAGUAAGAGCCCGUGGUCUGGCAUAUCACUCCUCUCCCUUUCACCCAGGAGAACAAGGGAGACCAUUGUCACAUCAUCAGUGGUCAGCCAAUCAAAUUGGAGUUUUGCCACAAUAUCCCUACCCCCAUUACCCUAUGGGAGUUCCAAGGUUGCUCCUAUGGAAGGAGGGAGCUAAGGAGGAGGCCUGGCCUGAGCCAAAGGAUGAUUAUUACAACAUGGAUUGUGUACAUAAUAGCCCGGCAAAAAGCGGGAUUCUGCUUCCCACCAAAAACCAGUUCGGACAUUGAAGUUGUGGAAAGCGAGGCAGUGUCAGUGGUACAACACUGGCUGAAAAAGACCGAAGAAGAGGCUUCCCAAGGUAUCAAACAAAAGAUGUCAAACUGUCCUCCAACUCAUGGUCAAGAAGUGCAUGUGACAAGAGAUGUGAUGAAACAUCAUAUUUCAAAAUCUGACUUGUCAGCAAAUCGGAGCCAAGAGGUCCUUGAGGAGAGAACACGGAUCCAAUUCAUAAGAUGGAGUCACACUCGUAUCUUCCAAGUCCCAAGCGAAGUGAGAGAUGAGGCCAUGCGGGAGAGGAUAGAGCAGGUGAGAAGAAGCGUGUCUCAAGUUAUGGUUGAAUGUGCCCCCAGUGUUCAACCCUCAUUCACAGACUGCUAGAAUCCACAGUUCCCUUUGCCGAUUCUCCGUGCCAGUGCUCGCGGAGGAGUGAAGAGAAUUGACUCCCAGAAAAGAGGGAGCAGAAAGGGGUCCGUGGAGAGCAAGCUUUCUGGGCUCCAGAGCGAUGCUCGAAAUUCAUUUUCCAUCCUGAGAGGGGAAAAACAAAGGGGAGAGAAAGCAGCAGUUGUUCUUUACAAGUUUGGGAAACUUUGCUCCAAGCCAGACAGAUCGGAGCGGAUGGGGGUAAUGUGGUGGAAAGCGGCUUUGAAUUCAUUAGAGGUUUUCUCUCGCUUUCCCAUGCUUCUGCCACCCCCACCUUUUUGCACACACAAUUUGUUUUUUCCUUUGCCUAUUUAUUGUGUGAUUGGGAUGGGGAGAGAGGGGAUUCGAUUUUUUUAAAAAAAUUGUCUCAAAGUUGGUGACAGGAGAGAGUGGGGAGCUGAAUAUGGACCUGAUCAGGGACUUAAUGGACACCCUUAGAAGAUGCUGACCUGCAGUUAGAUUUUUAAGGUUUGAUAGGGGUGUAUUAGAAAAGAAAAGGAGGAUAAAGAGUGUGUCUAUGUUUUGAGUAUUCAAUAUACAAAUGA